CAGCCGCCACGGGAAUACGGAGGGAGCUAGCGUUGUUCGGAAUUACUGGGCGUAAAGCGCGCGUAGGCGGUUACUCAAGUCAGAGGUGAAAGCCCGGGGCUCAACCCCGGAACUGCCUUUGAAACUAGGUGACUAGAAUCUUGGAGAGGUCAGUGGAAUUCCGAGUGUAGAGGUGAAAUUCGUAGAUAUUCGGAAGAACACCAGUGGCGAAGGCGACUGACUGGACAAGUAUUGACGCUGAGGUGCGAAAGCGUGGGGAGCAAACAGGAUUAGAUACCCCGGUAGUCCCUGUCUCUUAUAC
Molecule: ribosomal RNA, 301 nt
Filed under: uncultured bacterium
Lineage: Bacteria
Description: partial 16S ribosomal RNA
Rfam family: Bacterial small subunit ribosomal RNA
Source: RNAcentral